Molecule: ribosomal RNA, 570 nt
Filed under: Glyptothorax brevipinnis
Lineage: Eukaryota; Metazoa; Chordata; Actinopteri; Siluriformes; Sisoridae
Description: partial 16S ribosomal RNA
Rfam family: Bacterial large subunit ribosomal RNA
Source: RNAcentral
CGCCUCCUGCAAACAACGACGUAUAGGAGGUCUUGCCUGCCCAGUGACAAUGUUAAACGGCCGCGGUAUUUUGACCGUGCGAAGGUAGCGCAAUCACUUGUCUUUUAAAUGAAGACCUGUAUGAAUGGUGAAACGAGGGCUUAACUGUCUCCCUUUUCUAGUCAAUGAAAUUGAUCUGCCCGUGCAGAAGCGGACAUAAAAAUACAAGACGAGAAGACCCUUUGGAGCUUAAGAUAUAAAGAUCAUCUAUGUCAAUGGGCCCCAACACGGCAACAAACUAAAUAGCAACUGAUCUUAAUCUUCGGUUGGGGCGACCACGGGAGAAAAUAAAGCUCCCACGCGGACUGGGGUAAACCCUAAAACCAAGAAAAACAUUUCUAAGAAACAGAACUUCUGACCAUUAAGAUCCGGCUACACGCCGACCAACGGACCAAGUUACCCUAGGGAUAACAGCGCAAUCCCCUUUCAGAGUCCAUAUCGACAAGGGGGUUUACGACCUCGAUGUUGGAUCAGGACAUCCUAAUGGUGCAGCCGCUAUUAAGGGUUCGUUUGUUCAACGAUUAAAGUCCU